Molecule: ribosomal RNA, 1359 nt
Filed under: uncultured bacterium
Lineage: Bacteria
Description: bacterial SSU rRNA
Rfam family: Bacterial small subunit ribosomal RNA
Source: RNAcentral
GAUGAACGCUAGCUACAGGCUUAACACAUGCAAGUCGAGGGGCAGCAUUUUAGUUUGCUUGCAAACUGAAGAUGGCGACCGGCGCACGGGUGAGUAACACGUAUCCAACCUGCCGAUAACUCCGGGAUAGCCUUUCGAAAGAAAGAUUAAUACCGGAUAGUAUACGAAUAUCGCAUGAUAUUUUUAUUAAAGAAUUUCGGUUAUCGAUGGGGAUGCGUUCCAUUAGUUUGUUGGCGGGGUAACGGCCCACCAAGACUACGAUGGAUAGGGGUUCUGAGAGGAAGGUCCCCCACAUUGGAACUGAGACACGGUCCAAACUCCUACGGGAGGCAGCAGUGAGGAAUAUUGGUCAAUGGGCGCGAGCCUGAACCAGCCAAGUAGCGUGAAGGAUGAAGGCUCUAUGGGUCGUAAACUUCUUUUAUAUGGGAAUAAAGUUUUCCACGUGUGGAAUUUUGUAUGUACCAUAUGAAUAAGGAUCGGCUAACUCCGUGCCAGCAGCCGCGGUAAUACGGAGGAUCCGAGCGUUAUCCGGAUUUAUUGGGUUUAAAGGGAGCGUAGGUGGAUUGUUAAGUCAGUUGUGAAAGUUUGCGGCUCAACCGUAAAAUUGCAGUUGAUACUGGCUGUCUUGAGUACAGUAGAGGUGGGCGGAAUUCGUGGUGUAGCGGUGAAAUGCUUAGAUAUCACGAAGAACUCCGAUUGCGAAGGCAGCUCACUGGACUGCAACUGACACUGAUGCUCGAAAGUGUGGGUAUCAAACAGGAUUAGAUACCCUGGUAGUCCACACAGUAAACGAUGAAUACUCGCUGUUUGCGAUAUACAGUAAGCGGCCAAGCGAAAGCAUUAAGUAUUCCACCUGGGGAGUACGCCGGCAACGGUGAAACUCAAAGGAAUUGACGGGGGCCCGCACAAGCGGAGGAACAUGUGGUUUAAUUCGAUGAUACGCGAGGAACCUUACCCGGGCUUAAAUUGCAUUUGAAUAUAUUGGAAACACCCCCCCCGUAAGGCAAAUGUGAAGGUGCUGCAUGGUUGUCGUCAGCUCGUGCCGUGAGGUGUCGGCUUAAGUGCCAUAACGAGCGCAACCCUUAUCUUUAGUUACUAACAGGUCAUGCUGAGGACUCUAGGGAGACUGCCGUCGUAAGAUGUGAGGAAGGUGGGGAUGACGUCAAAUCAGCACGGCCCUUACGUCCGGGGCUACACACGUGUUACAAUGGGGGGUACAGAAGGCAGCUACCUGGUGACAGGAUGCUAAUCCCAAAAGCCUCUCUCAGUUCGGAUCGAAGUCUGCAACCCGACUUCGUGAAGCUGGAUUCGCUAGUAAUCGCGCAUCAGCCAUGGCGCGGUGAAUACGUUCCCGGGCCU